CCUAAAAACCGGACCGUGAUGGACUACGUGGAACUAGAGAGAAAAAAGGAACUCCUUUCAGUUGAAACUUGUAUAUACCAAGGUCAUUGUCCUUAAAAAUAACUAGUGCAGUGUGAACUUGAUGUCUAGCACCCUGCAUUGAAAUUAACCACAUUGUCUGAUCCGUUUGAGGUCUGAGUUAUGUUUUGGCUGAAAUAGUGCGGUACGGCUGAAAACAUCUUUCUGCUUUGAUGUAUUUUUGUGGUCUUUUUGUGGUUAGAGGCCUUGGAUGUCAGAGUGAGAGAGUUUAACCAAGAAAAUAUGUCUGAAAGGAAUUUCACCUGACUUGGGUAUAACUGGAUAUCAGUUCUCAGAUGAACAGAAAUAAACCAUGAAGCAACAAAAGCAACUAGAGAAAAACAGAGCUUUCCUCACCAGUGAGACAAGAUAUCCACAUGGCCUGUUCCAGCAUGCAGUCUUAGUUAUAAGCCUCCAUGAGGUUUAUUCUUCUGACUACAUCUUUUUUGAGAAGUUGAAGUGUUAAAUACUAAAUGCUUGAUUUGCUAAAGGAUUUGGAGCAUUGUGCCAAAGCUUUACUGGAACUUUACUUAAGCUUUUACUGGAAAUGUUAGAAGUGUCAGAAGUAACAGAGCUAAGAAACUCCAACGUGCUAUGAAAAUAAAGUUUUAUUUGUAGAUGA
This is a long non-coding RNA of Cygnus olor (mute swan), 679 nucleotides long. RefSeq lists it as uncharacterized. The record is from RefSeq and is a predicted model, not a curated record. NCBI's taxonomy places the organism in Eukaryota, Metazoa, Chordata, Aves, Anseriformes, Anatidae. The transcript is spliced from 2 exons.